AAAUUGAAGAGUUUGAUCAUGGCUCAGAUUGAACGCUGGCGGCAGGCCUAACACAUGCAAGUCGAACGGUAACAGGAAGCAGCUUGCUGCUUCGCUGACGAGUGGCGGACGGGUGAGUAAUGUCUGGGAAACUGCCUGAUGGAGGGGGAUAACUACUGGAAACGGUAGCUAAUACCGCAUAAUGUCGCAAGACCAAAGAGGGGGACCU
RNAcentral lists this ribosomal RNA (208 nucleotides) under Escherichia coli. Its description in RNAcentral is "partial 16S ribosomal RNA". It matches the Rfam family "Bacterial small subunit ribosomal RNA", at positions 1 to 215 of the family's 1533-position model. Lineage: Bacteria; Pseudomonadati; Pseudomonadota; Gammaproteobacteria; Enterobacterales; Enterobacteriaceae. The record is from RNAcentral.